CCCUUAGAUGUUCUGGGCCGCGCGCGCUACACUGAUGCAUUCAACGAGUUUCUUCCUGGUCCGAGAGGAAUGGGUAACCUUUUGAAAGUGCAUCGUGAUAGGGAUAGACUAUUGCAAUUAUUGGUCUUCAACGAGGAAUUCCUAGUAGACGUAGUUCAUCAGACUGCAUCGAUUACGUCCCUGCCCUUUGUACACACCGCCCGUCGCUCCUACCGAUUGAAUGCUCAGGUGAGCCAUUCGGACUUUCAUCAUGCUGGUUUCCAGUUUUGAUGAAGGAAAGUCUUGCGAACCUUAUCAUUUAGAGGAAGGAGAAGUCGUAACA
RNAcentral lists this ribosomal RNA (322 nucleotides) under uncultured eukaryote. RNAcentral describes it as "partial 18S ribosomal RNA". It matches the Rfam family "Eukaryotic small subunit ribosomal RNA", at positions 1470 to 1796 of the family's 1831-position model. The record is from RNAcentral.